CACAAUGGACGAAAGUCUGAUGGAGCAAUGCCGCGUGAGUGAAGAAGGUUUUCGGAUCGUAAAACUCUGUUGUGAGGGAAGAACAAGUACGAGAGUAACUGCUCGUACCUUGACGGUACCUCAUUAGAAAGCCACGGCUAAAUACGUGCCAGCAGCCGCGGUAAUACGUAGGUGGCCAGCGUUGUCCGGAAUUAUUGGGCGUAAAGCGCGCGCAGGCGGUCCUUUAAGUCUGAUGUGAAAUCCCACGGCUCAACCGUGGAAGGUCAUUGGAAACUGGGGGACUUGAGUACCGAAGAGGAAAGCGGAAUUCCAAGUGUAGCGGUGAAAUGCGUAGAGAUUUGGAGGAACACCAGUGGCGAAGGCGGCUUUUUGGUCUGUAACUGACGCUGAGGCGCGAAAGCGUGGGGAGCAA
Molecule: ribosomal RNA, 412 nt
Filed under: Psychrobacillus psychrodurans
Lineage: Bacteria; Bacillati; Bacillota; Bacilli; Caryophanales; Bacillaceae
Description: bacterial SSU rRNA
Rfam family: Bacterial small subunit ribosomal RNA
Source: RNAcentral